This 466-nucleotide ribosomal RNA is filed under the name uncultured bacterium. RNAcentral describes it as "partial 16S ribosomal RNA". It matches the Rfam family "Bacterial small subunit ribosomal RNA", at positions 28 to 507 of the family's 1533-position model. The record is from RNAcentral.
GAUGAACGCUGGCGGCGUGCUUAACACAUGCAAGUCGAACGGAAAGACCCAAACUUGCUUGGGUUCUCGAUUGGCGAACGGGUGAGUAAAACGUGUGGAAUCUGCCCUGCACUUCGGGGUAAGCCUGCGAAACUGGGGCUAAUACCGGGGAGGAUCACAUGUUGGGUGGGGUGGUGGAGAGUUUUUCGGUGUGGGUGGAGCUCGCGGCCUAUCACCUUGUUGGUGGGGUAAUGGCCUACCAAGGCGUCGACGGGUAGCCGGCCGGCGAGGGUGUACGGCCGCACUGGGCCCGAGCGACGGCCCGCACUCCGAAGGGAGGCAGAAGGGGGGAAUGCUGCACAAUGGGAGGCAGCCUGAUGCAGCAAGGCCGCGGGGGGGAUGACCGCCUUCGUGUUGUAAAAUCCUUUCGCUAGGGACGAAGCGUCAUGUGACGGUACCUGGAGAAGAAGCACCGGCUAACUACGUG